UGUAAGCGUAUACCAAAGUUGUUGCAGUUAAAACGCUCGUAGUCGGAAUUUGGCAGUUCCGGAUGUGUGCACGUCGUGUGCGCACUUCGCGGGGAUUGCUUUUGUGGUCUUGCGUAGGAUGAGGCACUUUUAUUAGUGAACGUCCUCACGCAACCACUUUUUACUGUGAGAAAAUCAGAGUGCUCAAAGCAGGCAUUUGCCGUGAAUGUAUUAGCAUGGAAUAAUAGAAUAGGACUUGGUUCUAUUUUGUUGGUUUGUUGGGACUGAGUAAUGAUUAAGAGGGACAGUUGGGGGCAUUUGUAUUUCGGUGCUAGAGGUGAAAUUCUUAGAUUACCGAAAGACAAACUGCUGCGAAAGCAUUUGUCAAGGAUGUUUUCAUUAA
Molecule: ribosomal RNA, 382 nt
Filed under: uncultured eukaryote
Lineage: Eukaryota
Description: partial 18S ribosomal RNA
Rfam family: Eukaryotic small subunit ribosomal RNA
Source: RNAcentral